This 445-nucleotide ribosomal RNA is filed under the name uncultured bacterium. RNAcentral describes it as "bacterial SSU rRNA". It matches the Rfam family "Bacterial small subunit ribosomal RNA", at positions 354 to 796 of the family's 1533-position model. The record is from RNAcentral.
GUAGGGAAUAUUGGGCAAUGGAUGCAAGUCUGACCCAGCCAUGCCGCGUGGAGGAAGAAGGUCCUCUGGAUUGUAAACUCCUUUUUUGGGGGAAGAAUAGUUCUCUUGCGAGGGAAUGUGACGGUACCCUAAGAAUAAGCCACGGCUAACUACGUGCCAGCAGCCGCGGUAAUACGUAGGUGGCAAGCGUUGUCCGGAUGUAUUGGGUUUAAAGGGUGCGUAGGUGGUUUGAUAAGUCAGUGGUGAAAGCUGGUUGCUCAACAAUCAAGUUGCCAUUGAUACUGUCGGACUUGAGAGAAGUGGAGGUUCAUAGAAUGGAUGGUGUAGCGGUGAAAUGCAUAGAUAUCAUCCAGAACGUCGAUUGCGAAGGCAGUGGGCUGUACUUUAUCUGACACUGAGGCACGAAAGUGUGGGGAUCAAACAGGAUUAGAAACCCCUGUAGUCC